ACCGGGACGUGGCGGUUGACGGCA
RNAcentral lists this non-coding RNA (24 nucleotides) under Arabidopsis thaliana (thale cress). The record is from RNAcentral. Lineage: Eukaryota; Viridiplantae; Streptophyta; Magnoliopsida; Brassicales; Brassicaceae.